Molecule: ribosomal RNA, 253 nt
Filed under: uncultured bacterium
Lineage: Bacteria
Description: partial 16S ribosomal RNA
Rfam family: Bacterial small subunit ribosomal RNA
Source: RNAcentral
UACGUAGGGGGCGAGCGUUGUCCGGAUUUACUGGGCGUAAAGAGCGCGCAGGCGGCUGGUCAAGUCCGAUGUGAAAUCUCCCGGCUCAACUGGGAAACUGCAUCGGAAACUGAUCGGCUUGAAGAUGGGAGAGGGUAGUGGAAUUCCCGGUGUAGUGGUGAAAUGCGUAGAUAUCGGGAGGAACACCAGUGGCGAAGGCGCCUACCUGGCCCAUUCUUGACGCUGAGGCGCGAAAGCUAGGGGAGCGAACGGG